ACAGAGGGUGCAAGCGUUGUUCGGAAUUAUUGGGCGUAAAGGGAGUGUAGGCGGCUUGUUAAGUCUUCUGUGAAAUCUACGGGCUCAGCCUGUAACGUGCAGAGGAAACUGGCGAGCUUGAGUGUCGGAGAGGAUAGGGGAAUACCCGGUGUAGAGGUGAAAUUCGUAGAGAUCGGGUGGAACACCAGUGGCGAAGGCGCCUAUCUGGCUGACAACUGACGCUGAGACUCGAAAGCAUGGGGAGCAAACAGGA
This 253-nucleotide ribosomal RNA is filed under the name uncultured prokaryote. Its description in RNAcentral is "partial 16S ribosomal RNA". It matches the Rfam family "Bacterial small subunit ribosomal RNA", at positions 525 to 777 of the family's 1533-position model. The record is from RNAcentral.